AUGAGGAGGAGAAACUUUCAAACAAGUGGAGAUAGGCGAGGUGACAAAGUGAGGGCCCUAGAGAUGCCUAGUACAUCCCAUAAACAAACAUAUGGUUCUACCAUGAAAGAUGUAGAUGGCAAAGUGGAGGGACUUCCUAUUCAACUACCGAAUGAUUUAUGGUUGAGUCUUGGACAGGACUACGACACCCCCGACCCAUUCAAAUUCCCCUCUCGAGUAACUUUUCUUUCACUCCACCCAUGCUCCCCUUGCUCUGCAUCCGCACCCUCCUCACCCCCAUCGCCGAUGUACAUGUUCGGACAUCGUCCAGGCAUUGCCGAAUGUCUGCAUCCCACACCCAUGUGCCUAGCCCCCUUGGACUACGGUGUCGUCAAAUCAAGAUCCGUUCAUAGCCAGAAAAAGCACCAUGCACCCUACAACUUGCACAGGAUCCAUGAUCACAAUAUGAAGUCGUUAUCCCAUCGGUGGUACACCAUCUCCAACUCCAUCAAGAAGUUAUGCGGUGCGAUUGCACAAAUGGAGAGAAUGUGGCCACGGGGCUCGCAAACUGUUGGCAUUAUGUAA
This 564-nucleotide ribosomal RNA is filed under the name Triticum aestivum (bread wheat). Its description in RNAcentral is "partial small subunit ribosomal RNA". The record is from RNAcentral. Lineage: Eukaryota; Viridiplantae; Streptophyta; Magnoliopsida; Poales; Poaceae.